AGGGUGCGAGACGUUAAGUACGGAAUUACGUGGGACGUAAAGCGCAUCGCAGGCGGCCUAGUUAAGUCAGAUGUAGAAACGGCCCGGGGACUUUAACCGUACGGUAAGUUGCUAUUUAGAAACGUGGCAGGCUAGAGUCUUGUAGAGGGGGUAGGAAUUUCAGGUGUAGCGGUGAAAUGCGUAGAGAUCUGAAGGAAUACCAGUGGCGAAGGCGGCCCCCUGGACAAAGACUGACGCUCAGAUGCGAAAGCGUGGGGAGCAAACAGGAUUAGAUACCCUGGUAG
RNAcentral lists this ribosomal RNA (284 nucleotides) under uncultured bacterium. RNAcentral's name for it is "partial 16S ribosomal RNA". The stretch from base 33 to 284 matches the Rfam family "Bacterial small subunit ribosomal RNA", at positions 556 to 793 of the family's 1533-position model. The record is from RNAcentral.